GCAUAGGGAGAAGUUUCUUGGAAAAGAACAUCAGAGAGGGUGAGAGUCCCGUAUUUGCCCUGUGUCAUUUAGUUCCACGUACGGUACGCUUUUAUAGAGUCGCGUUCAUCGGGAUUUGAGCGCAAAAUGUGUGGUAAGUUUCACAUAAAGCUAAAUAAUGGCGCGAGACCGAUAGCAAACAAGUACCGUGAGGGAAAGACGAAAAGUUCUUUGGAAAGAGAGUUAAAAGUGCCUGAAAUUGCCGAAAAGGAAGCGAUUGGAACCUUUUGGAAUCCAAUACGUGAAUCUCUCAUGACAUUGGGCCCCAGGUUAUUUAACCCUGUAAAAAGGGAAAAGGAUUUGGGUAAGGCAAUAGAUGAAAGGGGUGAGGAUCGUAUUGGAGAGGCCAGCAUCAGUUAAAACGAAAAGACUCCAGGUGUAGAAGGUAGGUCCCCCGUGGACUGUUUUACUAGAUACACCGUUGGAACUUUUCUUUUUAACUGAGGUGUACUAUAAUAGAGCAUGGAAUAUUCGGGCUACACUCGGUUUUUGUAAAAAGAUCGAGUACUCGAGUUCUGUGAUGCUGACUAAAAUGGUUUCAACCGACCCGUCUUGAAACACGGACCAAGGAGUCUAACAUAUGUGCAAGUAUGCGGGUGGCAAACCUGUAUGCGAAAUGAAAGUAAGAGUAGGGAAAAGGGUAAUAUCGUCAAAAAAUAUUAUGCUUUGCACCUACGACCGACCAUGAUCUCAGAG
This 735-nucleotide ribosomal RNA is filed under the name Sarcocystis myodes. RNAcentral describes it as "partial large subunit ribosomal RNA". It matches the Rfam family "Eukaryotic large subunit ribosomal RNA", at positions 173 to 783 of the family's 3401-position model. The record is from RNAcentral. Lineage: Eukaryota; Apicomplexa; Conoidasida; Eucoccidiorida; Sarcocystidae.